RNAcentral lists this ribosomal RNA (368 nucleotides) under uncultured organism. Its description in RNAcentral is "bacterial SSU rRNA". It matches the Rfam family "Bacterial small subunit ribosomal RNA", at positions 526 to 896 of the family's 1533-position model. The record is from RNAcentral.
CGGAGGGUGCAAGCGUUAUCCGGAUUCACUGGGUUUAAAGGGAGCGCAGGCGGACUGGUAAGUCAGUGGUGAAAUACCUGAGCUUAACUCGGGAACUGCCAUUGAUACUAUCAGUCUUGAAUGUUGUUGAGGUUUGCGGAAUGGGUCAUGUAGCGGUGAAAUGCAUAGAUAUGACCCGGAACACCUAUUGCGAAGGCAGCAGGCUAAACAAAUAUUGACGCUGAGGCUCGAAAGCGUGGGGACCAAACAGGAUUAGAUACCCUGGUAGUCCACGCCCUAAACGAUGAUUACUCGACAUACGCGAUACACUGUGUGUGUCUGAGCGAAAGCAUUAAGUAAUCCACCUGGGAAGUACGACCGCAAGGUUG